UACGAAGGGGGCUAGCGUUGCUCGGAUUGACUGGGCGUAAAGGGCGCGUAGGCGGUUCGUACAGUCAGACGUGAAAUUCCUGGGCUCAACCUGGGGGCUGCGUUUGAUACGUGCGGACUUGAGUGCGGAAGAGGGUCGUGGAAUUCCCAGUGUAGAGGUGAAAUUCGUAGAUAUUGGGAAGAACACCGGUGGCGAAGGCGGCGACCUGGUCCGAUACUGACGCUGAGGAGCGAAAGCGUGGGUAGCAAACAGG
RNAcentral lists this ribosomal RNA (253 nucleotides) under uncultured bacterium. RNAcentral describes it as "partial 16S ribosomal RNA". It matches the Rfam family "Bacterial small subunit ribosomal RNA", at positions 524 to 776 of the family's 1533-position model. The record is from RNAcentral.